AGCCGGAGGGAGGGGUGUCCGCAGGGCCUGCUCUGGAGGGGCCAUCUACCUGGGGGAGUGGGAAGGGGCUGUGAGGGGGCGGGCUAGGACCCAGGACCCCCUAGCAGAUAUGGAGGAGGGGAACACAGGUUCUCCUGGCAGGCAUCAUUUCCUAGCCCACUGGGUAGAUGCUCCAGGGGUCACUGGGGGAAGAACUGUGUAAAAACCCGGUGGAGGUCAGAGGAGAAGAAGAAAUACCAUCCAUGGGAAGGUGCUUAAUACAGAAAAAGACUAGAACUCCAGACAUUUCCCACUUUCAAAAAAUUGGCCUCCUUGGAGUUCCUGCCGUGGCGCAGUGGUUAACGAAUCCGACUAGGAACCAUGAGGUUGCGGGUUCGGUCCCUGCCCUUGCUCAGUGGGUUAAGGAUCUGGUGUUGCCGUGAGCUGUGGUGUAGGUUGCAGAUGCGGCUCGGAUCCUGUGUUGCUGUGGCUCUGGCGUAGGCCGGCGGCUGCAGCUCCGAUUCAACCCCUAGCCUGGGAACCUCCAUGUGCCGCCGGAAUGGCCUGAGAAAUGACAAAAAGACCAAAAAAAAAAAAAAAAAAAAAAAAA
Molecule: long non-coding RNA, 589 nt
Filed under: Sus scrofa (pig)
Lineage: Eukaryota; Metazoa; Chordata; Mammalia; Artiodactyla; Suidae
Description: lncRNA (ENSSSCG00005030806.1)
Source: RNAcentral